CAGGGGGUAGAGCACUGUUAUGGCUAGGGGGACAUGGCGUCUUACCAAACCAUGGCAAACUCCGAAUACUUGGAAGUAAGAGCACGGGAGACAGAGCACCGGGUGCUAACGUCCGGACUCAAGAGGGAAACAACCCAGACCGCCGUUUAAGGUCCCAAAUAUUGACUAAGUGGAAAACGAAGUGUGAAGGCUAAGACAGUCAGGAAGUUGGCUUAGAAGCAGCCAUCCUUCAAAGAAAGCGUAAUAGCUCACUGAUCGAGUCCUCAUGCGCGGAAGAUGUAACGGGGCUAAGUCAAUAACCGAAAGCGCGGAUUUGCACGAUGAGUGCAAGUGGUAGGGGAGCGUUCUGUAAGCCUGCGAAGGUGGUUCGAGAGGACUGCUGGAGGUAUCAGAAGUGCGAAUGCUGACAUGAGUAACGUUAAAGCGGGUGAAAAGCCCGCUCGCCGUAAGCCCAAGGUUUCCUGCUCUACGUUCAUCGGAGCAGGGUGAGUCGGCCCCUAAGGCCAGGCUGAGAAGCGUAGUCGAUGGGAAGCAGAUUAAUAUUUCUGCACCAUGUGCAAGUGCGAUGGGGGGACGGAGUGCGAAAGAUCAUCCGGGUGUUGGAUGUCCCGGUUUGUGAGUGUAGAAGGCCGACAGGCAAAUCCGUCGGCGGAUCUUCGAGACAAGGCAUCGAGGUUCUACGGAACCGAAGUGAUCGGAAGUGCUUCCAGGAAAAGCCUCUAAGCUCCAGCUUGCAUGUGACCGUACCGUAAACCGACACUGGUGGGCGAGUUGAAUAUACUCAGGCGCUUGAGAGAACUCGGGAGAAGGAACUCGGCAAAUUGACACCGUAACUUCGGGAUAAGGUGUGCCUUUGUAGCGUGAAGAGAGAAACACUCGGAGCGUGAAGAGGCCUCAGAGAAUCGGUGGCUGCAACUGUUUAUUAAAAACACAGCACUCUGCAAAGACGAAAGUCGACGUAUAGGGUGUGAUGCCUGCCCGGUGCUGGAAGAUUAAGUGAUGGGGUGAGAGCUCCUGAUCGAAGUCCCAGUAAACGGCGGCCGUAACUAUAACGGUCCUAAGGUAGCGAAAUUCCUUGUCGGGUAAGUUCCGACCUGCACGAAUGGCAUAAUGAUGGCCACACUGUCUCCUCCCGAGACUCAGUGAAGUUGAAAUGUUUGUGAUGAUGCAAUCUCCCCGCGGCUAGACGGGAAGACCCCAUGAACCUUUACUGUAGCUUUGCAUUGGACUUUGAACCGAUUUGUGUAGGAUAGGCGGGAGGCAGAGAAAGCGCAACGCCAGUUGUGCCGGAGCCGACGUUGAAAUACCGCCCUGAUUUGUUUGAGGUUCUAACCGCGACCCGUGAGCCGGGUUCGGGACCGUGCAUGGCAGGCAGUUUGACUGGGGCGGUCUCCUCCUAAAGGGUAACGGAGGAGUACAAAGGUACGCUAGGUACGGUCGGAAAUCGUGCUGAUAGUGCAAAGGCAAAAGCGUGCUUGACUGCGAGACCGACAAGUCGAGCAGAUGCGAAAGCAGGUCUUAGUGAUCCGGUGGCUCUGAAUGGAAGGGCCAUCGCUCAACGGAUAAAAGGUACUCUGGGGAUAACAGGCUGAUACCGCCCAAGAGUUCAUAUCGACGGCGGUGUUUGGCACCUCGAUGUCGGCUCAUCUCAUCCUGGGGCUGUAGCCGGUCCCAAGGGUAUGGCUGUUCGCCAUUUAAAGAGGUACGUGAGCUGGGUUUAAAACGUCGUGAGACAGUUUGGUCCCUAUCUGCCGUGGGCGCUGGAAGAUUGACGGGGGCUGCUCCUAGUACGAGAGGACCGGAGUGGACGCACCUCUGGUGUACCGGUUGUCACGCCAGUGGCAUCGCCGGGUAGCUAUGUGCGGAAGAGAUAACCGCUGAAAGCAUCUAAGCGGGAAACUUGCCUGAAGAUAAGUCUUCCCGGAGGCUAGACCUCCCUGAAGAGUCGUUCGAGACCAGGACGUUGAUAGGUCGGGUGUGUAAGCGUUGUGAGACGUUUAGCUAACCGAUACUAAUUGCUCGUGAGGCUUGAUC
RNAcentral lists this ribosomal RNA (2034 nucleotides) under human gut metagenome. RNAcentral describes it as "bacterial LSU rRNA". It matches the Rfam family "Bacterial large subunit ribosomal RNA", at positions 896 to 2925 of the family's 2925-position model. The record is from RNAcentral.